Molecule: ribosomal RNA, 226 nt
Filed under: Clostridium botulinum
Lineage: Bacteria; Bacillati; Bacillota; Clostridia; Eubacteriales; Clostridiaceae
Description: partial 23S ribosomal RNA
Rfam family: Bacterial large subunit ribosomal RNA
Source: RNAcentral
AGAGGAGCUUUCUGUAUGGGUUGAAGUCGUACCGUAAGGAGCGGUGGACUGUACAGAAGUGAGAAUGCUGGCAUAAGUAGCGAGAAAUAAGUGAGAAUCUUAUUGGCCGAAAACCUAAGGUUUCCUGAGGAAGGUUCGUCCGCUCAGGGUUAGUCGGGACCUAAGCCGAGGCCGAAAGGCGUAGGUGAUGGACAAUCGGUUGAUAUUCCGAUACCACCUAUUUACG